GGGCGGUUAGCUCAGUUGGUUAGAGUGUCUGCGUGACAUGCAGAAGGUCGCUGGUUCAAGUCCAGUACCGCCCACGA
This 77-nucleotide transfer RNA is filed under the name bacterium. Its description in RNAcentral is "tRNA-Val". It matches the Rfam family "tRNA". From Rfam's summary of the family: Transfer RNA (tRNA) molecules are approximately 80 nucleotides in length. Their secondary structure includes four short double-helical elements and three loops (D, anti-codon, and T loops). The record is from RNAcentral.